CGCCCGGCCGUUUUCUUGUUUUUAUGGGAGGUUGAGGAGUGGUUCAGGUGAACUAAUGGCCUUAAUGAUUUUUACUAUUGCUUCAGGUUUGGCUAAAUACAUCUAACCUCUCUGCCUGUUUGUGCACUGCAGUUUCUGUAUAUGCAGAGGACAGGUGUUUUUAGUAUACUAAGCACUUUUCUAAAAUGCAAUUAAUGAUUCAUUCUCAUAUUUAAUCCACUUUAAACAUUCCACCACUGAAAAAAGGUGAAAAGGGAGGAAAAACUUUUUUAUGGAGAAUUACAAUGGAAAUUUCUUCCUGCCUAAAUUAUUAAAAGUUCCAAAUUAGUAAGUCUAAGUUCAUUUUUAUCAUACAUUACAGAAGUGAUCUAAAUCUCAAAAAAAAAAAAAGUCUACAGAUGUUUUAGGCAAUUACCUAUUAUGUAAUGCCUCUUCAAUCAGCCAUAUUUUAUUGCAAGGAAGGGGUCUUAAAAUAGAAAGUUUUGAAAAACAGGGAAUUCUUAUAAGUUUGGCAACCCAAAAAAUUUUAUUUUGGAGCUAUUCAAUGAGAAAAAGAAGAUAAAAGAAUUAAUGUUGUAUAGAGUGAAAAACAAGUUUUGCUUGUGAAAUUUAAGCUUUGGUUUGGUUUCUACGAGGUAGAAAAUAACCUGUUAUAUUUUAUGUGUCAGAGGACAUAAAUUAUGAGUGUUAUAGGCUGUAGGUGACAGACAUACCUGGAAGGUCAACGAGACUCAAGAUCUCUGUUGUCUCAGCAUGCUCCCUCUUCCCAGCCUCCUGUAUGCAAUCAGUCGUCCAGUUCAUCAGUUCUUUCUUCCUCUUGCCUACAGUUCUCAGUUUCCUCCCAUUCACUUUACUCCUGUCCAAGGCCAGCACUUAGGACUUCACACUUGUAUUUCUAAAGUGACCACCACAUCAGCUUCCUGUCUUCAUUGUCUCAUGAACUUCACCACCAAAUAAAAUGUUCCUAAGUUCCAUCUUGGGCAUUUGUUUAACAGCCUUUCUAUAGACCGCUUUGCUUAAUAAUUUAAAAUCUGUACCUUUUUACCCAGCCAGUCAAGUUUCCCCAGGAUCUGGCCCUAACCACCUCUUGAGGUCUAGGUUCUAUUCCUCUCCUUCAUCCUGAGUCUAAUUAUGCAGAUAUCCAAUGAGACAACUGCCCUGGCACCAUCCCAUAGGGGGCACUGAAACACCACUAAUCAAUUAGAAAUACAGCGCCGGUUAACUCAGGUUUCUACCCUCAAACUCCUUACUCAUUGGUAAAAUGUAAACAAGAGCCAUUCCCAUAAAAGCACACAAUAUACCCUGAGCAAAGAGAUCAAGUGCCGGUAUCCACGGAAAUGACCUCUAUCCGUGGUGCGUAUGACUAAUCAUAUCCAAUUAUGAGUGCUUUUUAAAAAAUGAAAGACAAGUCCAAAUAGGUUAAAAUGUCAUGUUGCAUUCCCAGCAUAUAACAGACAUCUUAUUUUGAAAAUAAAGAAAGAACUAUUUGGGUAUACCUAUUUUAUUAAUAGAAAACCAUUCUUUCCUUUACUCUUCCACUAGAAAAUGUCAAAUAUUUAAGGAGUCAAAUGAUUAGCUCAUCAGGGGCACGCACGCAUCUCAGUCCGCCUUCACCCUUGCCAUCUUGUCUCCCUACAGUCCAUGAACACAGCCUGCAUUCUUCCCCUUGCCUAUGCAUAUGCCGUUUCUUCCUCUGGAAUAUCUUCCUUACUUUUCCCUCAGCCACCUGCAAUCCUAACUGUUCUUUAAGAUGCAAGUGAUUUUCUACAUUUUUCCAUAACAUCCUCCUCACUCUCACUAGCCAUUAAGUAGUCUCUGUUACCGCAAAUCCUAUGUUAUCUCUGACAUGAUACCACACUGUCUUUUGUGCCCGUUUUUCUUUUUCAAGAAAAAAUAUACACCUACCUCAUGCCAAACUUUUUUCUAAGAGUCUUAAAUGCAUUUUUCCAUGUAUUCUUCAAAAUAACCUUUGACACUAUUAUUUCCAUUUUCUAGAUGAAUAAACUGAGCUUUAUGGAAAUUAGAUUACUUGCUCAAAGUCAUACAACCAAGAAAAAGCCUGAUUCCAAUCCAAGUGUGUCCAUUUCUGGAGCAUGAGCUCUGACCAUAAUGCCAUAGGGCUUCAGUCUUACUUCCCCAUCCCCAGUGUAAAUUCCUUCAUUACUUGAGGACAAGCACUGUGUUUUGGGUACCUAGGUGCCUCUCCACAGUCCCCAAUAGAGAACCUUUCUGGACCAUAACAGAUACUCAGCAAAGGUAUAUAAAUGAUGGUGCUGAGAUUCUUUGGACCUUCUGAUAGGAAUGCGGUGUGGAUCCCAUUACACUUUCAGCUGUUCUGAAAGCACUUGAGAAUGGGAUGAGGCUUCUUUCAGUGGUAUGGGCAAAGCCAAUCGCUGCAGGAGCAACAUUACAGAUGCUCCACAAUGUGGAACCAUCUUUCUGUGAUCUCCUAAAUUGGCCUUAUAUAUUUCACAACUUUUACAUCUUUUCUAGUCAACUUCUUUCUAAAUUCUUCUAAAGGGCUCAUCAUCUAACACUAUUCUGACUUCCCAACACUGUAGUAAAGCAGUAAAGCAAUGCCAUAUGCUCAUUUGUUAAGCAGCUUGACAUAAAUAUCCAACCAACCAGAGAGUAGAGAAAUUAAAAUGACAAAGCACGAUAAAUGAUCAAAAAAUAUAGAUGUCCAAAAGCCGAAUGUAGACACAAUUUAAAAUUAGAAGACUCAUCAAAGUGGGAGGGGCUGGAAAGAUUAGUUACAUGUUUAUUAUUGCAAAAACUAGGAACAGCCUAAAUGUCCAAAAGAAAGGGACUGCUUAACUAAACAAUGGUGUGUCCAAACAACGGAAUACCACACAGUCAUCAGAAAUUAGUCAUUCGACAAAUAUUCAUUGAGUGCCUCAUGUACAUGAGGUAAAUGAAAAAGAAAUGAUACCUGCCUUCAUGGUGCUUAGAGUCUAAAUGAUGAUACAGAAGUAUAUAUAAUGACAAAAACAAUUUUAUAUUGCUGGGUGACGUGGUAGGUUACAAUAGAGUAAAUCUGUGUGAAUUAGUUUUUUUGUUGUUGCUGUUGCUCAUAACUUGAAGAUAUAUUUGUUCUGUGUUCACACCUUGCCUUGAAGAUGUUUAAGUUCAGCAUUAACGUCAUAGGAAGUGGUAAACUUCAAUCACUCCCUUCCUUAGGGACACUAGGAUAUUGAAAAGACUAAAAUACUGAAAGACCUAAUUAUAUGUGUAUAGGAAGAAUGGAAAAGCUGGCAUUAUUUCAUAAAAGUAGACAUCCAAGUGAGUUGGUCUGGCAAUAUUAAAUUUUACAGAAGAAAGUAAAGUUGCACAUUCAAAUUAAAACUGAAAAGUAUUUCAAAAUUCAAAAAUUCAAAAAAUUUAAAAAGUAAUUAAAAAUUUAAAGUGAAAAUGAGGCAAGUACAAAUCAAAUAAAGAUUAGUUUGAAUUCCAAUUGAAACUAAUUUUCAGAUAGCUCUUUGAAAUAUAUAUUCCCUGUAAGCAUACAUUAUUUUAAAGUAUGAAUUAAAAGUCUUCCACUGACCAAUUACAACACAGAAGUAUUGUCUACUGAUGCACUUUUUAAAAGAAAAAAGUCAGAAAAAGAAAAGCAAAGUCAAGUACGCAAAGAAAAAAGAGAAUGAAAUUUAAAAUCAUGAAACAUCAAUAAAAAGGAUGUCUAUCACUCUGGGUUACCCUGUUUUGCAUAAGUCCUGAAGACAUAACUAACUAGCAAGAACAGAAGCUCUAUAAUUUCUUAAGGUAAAAAAUAAUAAACUAUAAGAUUUAUAAUAUUCGAACUUCUUUACUCUUCAAAUUCUUAAUUUUUAGAAAUGGAGAGAAACUUCCUCAAAUUGAUGAAGAGCAUCUAAAAAAAGUCUAUCAUUAAAAUAGUUAUUGUUGAAAGACUGAAUGCUUUCUCCCUGAUACCACGAACAAAGCAAGGAUGUCUGUUCUCACUCCUGUUAUUCAACAAAGUGUUGGAAGUGCUAGCCAGGGCAAUAAGGCAGGAAAAUAAAAUUAAAAGUAUACAGAUGGGCCAGGUGUGGUGGCUUACGCCUGUAAUCCCAGCACUUUGAGAGGCCGAGGUGAGUGGAUCACUCGGGGUUAGGAGUUCGAGACCAGCCUAGCCAACAUGGUGAAAUCCUGUCUCUACUAAAAUACAAAAAUUAGCCACAUGUGGUGGCACACGCUUGUAAUCCCAGGUACUCAGGAGGCUGAGGCAUGAGAAUCGCUUUAACCCAAGAGGCGGCAGUUGUAGUCAGCCCAGAUUGUGCCACUGCACUCCAGCCUGGGCAACAGAGCAAGACGCCAUCUCAAAAAAAUACAUAAAAAUAAAGGUAUACAGAUGAAAAAGGAUUGGUUCCUGUUUAUGAAUGACAUGAUUGUGUAAAUGGAAAAUCUCAAGAGAUCUUUAAAAAAAAAGGACCUCCUAAAACUAGUGAGUCCAGCAAGAUAACAGGAUACAAGAUUAGCAUACAAAAUAUAAUUUAUAUUUCUAUGUCCUAGCAAUAAAUAUGUGAGCACCAAAGUUGAGAAUAGAGUACCAUUUACACUUACUGAAAGAUGAAAUAUUUAGGUAUAACUCUAACAAAACAAAUACAGGACUUAUGUGCUGAAAACUAAAAAAUUCUGAUGAAAAAAACCAAAGAAGAUCUAAAUAAAUGGAGAGGCAUACUGCAUUAAUGGAUUGGAAGACAACAUAGUAAGAUGUGACUUUUCCUUAACUUGAUACACAAGUUUAAAACAGUUCUUACCAAAAUCCCAGCAAUAGAUUUGUAGAUGAAGACAAAUAUUCUAAAAUGUAUGUGAAAAUGCAAAGAGACUGAUAUAAUGGAAGCAAUUUUGAAAAAAAGAAUAAAGUAGAAGGCAUCAGUGUACCUGAUUUCAAGACUUACUACUGUAUAUAGUUAUGGUAAUCAAGACUGUGGGGUACUAGUGAAGAGACAAACACUAGAUCAAUGAAACAGAAUAGAGAACCCAGAGAUAGAUCCACCUAAUACAAAUAUGUUCAAUUUAUUUUUGACAGUUGCAAAAGCAAUUUCACGGAGGAAGGACAGACUUUUCAACAAAUGGCCAGAGCAACUAAACAUUCAUUGGCAAAACAAACAUAAAACAAAACCAAACCAAAAAUACCCACCUUUACCUAAACCUCACACCUUAUACAGAAAGUAUCUCAAAACGGAUCACAAACUUAAAUGUAAAAUGUAAAACUAUAAAGAUUUUAGGAAAAAAAGUAAGAGAAAAUCUUUGGGAGCUAGAGCUAGGAAAGAAUUCUUAAAGUCAACACCAAAAGCAUAACGAGUCAAGGAAAAUUUGGUAAGUUUUGUUCUGUGAAAAAUCUUUUGUUCUGUGACAGAUUCUCUUAAGAGAACGAAAGAACAAUCACAUGUUGGGAGAAAAUAUUUGCAAACCAUAUAUCUAACAAGGAUUUCUAUCUAGACUAUAUAAAGAAUUCUCAAAACACAGCAGUAAGAAAACAUUCCAAUUAGAAUAUGGGCAAAAGACUUGAACAGACAUUUCACUGAAGAUGACAUACAGAUGGCACAUAAGCACACAAAAAGAUGUUCAACAUCAUUAGCCACCAGGGAAAUGCAAAUUAAGGCCGCAAUGAGACAUCACUAUACACUUAGCAGAAUGGCUAAAAUAAAAAACAGUGACACCACCAAAUACUGGCAAAGAUUUAGAGAAAUGGACCAUUUGUACAUUGCUGGUAGACAAGUAAAAUAAUACAGCCCCUGUUGAAAAUAGGCAGUUUCUUUAAAAACUAAACAUGCAACUACCAUAUGACCAAGCAGUUGUACUCCUGGAUAUUUAUCCCAGAAAAAUAAAAAUUAUAUCCACAGAAAACCCUGUAUAUGAUUGCUCAUAUCAGUUUUAUUCAUAAAUAACCAAAACCUAUAAAAAACAAAUUAUCUUUCAAGGGAUGAAUGCUUAAACAAAGUAUUGCAUAUCCAUACUAUGGCAUACUACUCAGCAAUAAAAAGGAAUGAACUAUUGAUACACACAACAGAGAAUCAUGCUGAGCAGGCGAAAAAAAGAAAAAACCUAUCCCAAAAGUUUACAGUAUGUGAUUCUGUUUAUAUAACAUUCUUGAAAUGACAAAAUUAUAAAAAUGAGUAUCUAGUGGUUAAGAAAGGGGGAUAGAGGAAAAAUAGGUGUAGCUAUAACAGGGCAAUAUGAGAGAUUCUAGUGGUUAGGGAAAUGUUCUGUAUCUUGAUUGUAUCAAUGUUAAUACCCUGGUUGAUAGACUGUAUUAUAGUUUUUUAAAAUAUUACCAUUUGGGGGAAUUGGGCUAAGAAUACAUGAGAUGUGUCUGUAUCAUGCCUUACAACUGCAUGUGAAUCUAGUUAUCUCAAAAUAAAAAGGUUAAUUUUAAAAAUACAAAAAGGAAUGAAUACGCUAGAUUAUUAGUGCUAGUUAGGGUGGGGUUAAUUUUCUAUUAAGUCUAAUUGGGUUUCUACAGACAACUGCUGGUGUAGCUAUCUCCAAUUCAAAUAACCUAAAAUUUUAAUUUGAGAACUACUCAGAUUCUAAUUUAAACCUCUGGGUGCUCCCCUUUUCUAUGUGGCAGCUUCUGCUGGUAUAUGUAACCGCACAAAAGCCAAACAAAUGUAUAACGCAUAAUAAAAAAACCAAAACCCUUUACACAAUGUCAAAGUGGAAAAUGAAUGUGCAAAUAUUAGAAACAAAUACACAUGUAUCUACUCAUGGAAAGAUCAAACAAAAGCAUAAACUAUAAUAUUUUUGUAGCAGUGAAAGAGCAAAUGUUUUAAAGAAGAAAACAAUCUUGUUUAUCUUAAUAUAUUAAUAAUGUCACUACAUGGAAGGAAUAGGAAAAAGCAAAGGACAGGUAUUUGGCCCCGAGUUACAAACUCCAAGCAAAUAAUAAUCAAAAUAUUCUGUCAACUUUUCUGCAUUUCUUUGUGGAAGGUAAAGUCUAAUAGUUGCUUGCAGCCAUGCUUACUUUUUUUCCAUUCAUUCAUUAAUUCAUCCACAAGAAUUUUUGGAAGUCUAUUAUCAGGUACUUUGCAGUUAGAGAGGCAAGAAGAUAAAAUAGAAAUGGUUUCUGCUAAUCAUGUUUUUAUGAUUUUAUGUUUUAAAUAAAUGGGCUUAGUUUAAUGUUUUGUAUAUAAUGUUUUGGGACAUAGUGUUUUUAACUUAUUAUAACUUAUGUAACUAAUCCCUUAAUGUUGGGGCACAUAUAUGUUUUCUCAACUUUUCAUAAUUAUAAUUAACACAGAGCAGUCAUAACUGACAAUAAACUAGAAAUAAAAAAGACAAGAAAAAUGAAAAAAUACUUAAAAAUAAAUGAAGUCUUACAAAACCUCUCAAUUCAAAUUGCUAAUAUGUGCAAAAUUAGUAACUGAAGAAUAAUUUUUUUUCUCUUUUCCAAAUUGUUGUUUAAACCUCAACCUCUUGACAAACUUGGGUUCUAAUUGUUUUUCUGUUCACUAAUCUUUUAGGUUAACUCUGCCCUCCGCCCACACUGAACUACUUUCAGUUCCCCUAACUGACCAUAUUCUUUUUCCAGGGAUUUGGAUAUGUUUUUUCAGUUUAGAAAACUCUCCCUACACAACACUGACAAAAUCCUAAUAAAUCUUUGGGCUUCAAAGACACUUUUUAUGUAAAACCUUUGCAGGUCCCUCAGAAGCCUGAGUGAAGUAUACCUUAGUCACCCUGUAAUUAAUUACUUCACCAUAUUACAAUGAUCUGUUUACUUGUCUGUCUUCCCCACUAGACCCAAAGCUCUUUGACAAUGUUUUGUUCACUAUUUAUCCCCAGCGCUGAGAAAACAGCCUGACCCAUAGCAGAUGCUACUCUAUAAAUACCUAAUGAGUGAGGAAUGAAUGCAUGAACAAAUAGACUCUUAAGCCUCUGGCCUAGGAAGAUGGGCAGCUCCUCAUUCACCCAGAUGACUGGAUCUUGCUUAUGAACACGGCCAACAACAUAAGGCAGCUCUCUGAAAUAUAUGUUAGAGCCUCAAUCUUUCCACUGCUAUACAAUCUAGGAACUUAGGCACCUUUCCAGAAAACAACACCUCAUCUAAGAGGUGUCUCCUGAGAGCUACUCUUGGAAGCACCGAAGUCCUUUUCACAAAGACUGCAAGGUCCUUGAAAAGAUACACUGUGUAACUUCAGUGUACAAUGAGCAGCUGGGAGUGUUUUGGGCGAAGUUGGUAUAAAAGGGUGCCUUUAAUACAAUAUUUAGGUAGGUUGACCUGACUGCCUAAUUUAUAUGACGAAAUAUUAAAGCCCUGGGUACUGUGAGGAUUUCCUAGUACUAAAGUUUGUCCUUAUGUUUCCAUCUUUCUCAGUAUUGAGAUUACAAAUCUUGGAACACCAGUUCUGAGGGAGCUUGGUAGUCUUCCCUUCAACAAAGGCUUUAAGACACAGGACAUAUGCCUUGUUUUCUCAAGUCUCAUUUCAGAAGAUUCUUCCCACUGCAAACACCAAUGCUAUUUUUUUUCCCUCCUGACCUUUGUCAACUGUGUUGCUGUACUGCAUUUGGAAGUAUUACAAUGGUCAUUACCUGCCCUGUUUAUUCAGUGUUAAGUAUUAACAAGGCCUGUGCUAUCUCAGCUGCUGUCAUAUUUCUCCAGAAAAGAAAUGCCUAUGUAAAUGUCCUAAUGCAAACAAAAGACUCUUUUUCUAGGUGGGGGUGGCAGAAGACUUGGAGACAAUUGAAAAGAUGGAAGAAAACAGUAGAUAUUUUAAAAGAACAGUUUUCAGAAAUAUAUGAAAUAAUUGCACCAUGAAAUCUAAUUUGAGGCUGAUUUUUUUUUUUGUUUGUGCAUUUGGUCAGUUCUGGCCUGGUAUUUGCUCAUAUUGAGGCUAUAAAGCACAUAUUUCUGGAUUUAUUUAUAAUGACUUCAAAUAGUUUGAUAUUGAGCAAAAGUGUAUAAAUAUAUUACAGAAUAAAGAGAAAAAGUAACCCUUGGCAUCAAACUCUCUUUGUUUAGGGUUUACAUGUUUGGUUUCUUGUGUGGAACAGCUAUGUCAGAGUGGGUGGGAUCCUGUUUCUGAGGGAAUGGAAGAGUGCUGACAAUAUUUUCUUGAGCACAAAGAAGGGUGAAGAGUCUUAUUAAAACUCCUACCAGAUACUGCUUGUUGGACAGUGAAAUUGCAAAACUUGCAAAGAGGAGGGCCAAACACCAUGCAGAACAGAUCAAAUACAAAUUAAAAAAUUGACUUGGGGAAGAAAAAUCUUUCACUAGAGUCAGCUUUUCUGUAGAAAUUGGCCCGUUCUCAUAAAUUUACCUAAGUUUGUGCUUGGGUCAGAUGACAAAGCAAAAUUCCAUCCUCUGAUAGUUGCAAAAAACUGCCAGUGAAACAAACUGAAGCCAAAUACAUACUUCCUAGAUGACAUCCGAUCCAGAGAAACAAAGGUGUAGGUCACUUUUUCAUUUUUAAAGUACCCAAGGAGUUACAGAGAGAUGAAAAUAGACAAUACGUGGAGAAAAGAAGACUGCUUCUCUUCUGUAGCUAUAGCCAUAUGAAAUAAAACAACUGUACCUGCUGGGACUUACAAAUAUGUGUGUUAUUUAGGAGAACGGGCUCUGGAGUUACACUUGCAAGCUCUGAAUCCCAGUUUAACCAUUCCAUUACUGUGUGAGCUUAGAUAAGUUACUUAACUAUUUUUAAUUUUCUACCUUUUAGAAGUGAGUAUGGACUACUUAAGCAAUAGAAAUUAACUAGGGCUGGAAAAAAAGAAUGAUUUGCUGGAAGUACUUCAGCAGCAUAACCUUUAUGUAAGAACAAAUAUCAUCAUUUAUUGAGGGCCUACCUAAUGUGUGCCAGGCAUUUUGGAUACACUAUUCUAAUCUUUAUACAUCCCUGCAAGGUUAAUACUAUUAUUCCCAAUUUAUAAGGUUCAAAGUAGCUAAGUAAUUAGAUCUACGUCUUGAAGCUGAAAAGUGGCAAAAAUAUCUACCCAUAUUCCUUACCUAAUUUUUUUUCCUUAUUUUUAAAACAAUGACCCAAGAAUUUCUCUUCCCUCUCUGAUUCCUUUUUCUCCAAUCCUACUCAGGUCAUAACUGCAUUGGGAAUCUCAUUUCUUUCUUCUUUCUCUUCUUUAUCCAGUUUAACGUUCCUGAAUCCACUCACCAACCUCCCUUCUUCCUCCGCUUCCUGGUGCCACUGAUCCCAAUCCUUCCUCCAGUUUUGUUUGGCUUAAGUCCUGUCCUGAAUCCCACUGCCCCAUCAGGUCCACCCCACUCCAUCAGCACUGUCAUCAUAAUGAGAGCAAAUACCUAUUAGCACUUUUCUACGUGUCAGGUGCCUUAUGAGAUGGAUACCAUUAUUAUCCCCAUUUUAGAGAUAUGGGAACUGGGACACCAAAAGGUAACAUAGCCUACCAGGACACAGAAGUAGCAGAGAUGGAGUGCUAACCUCAACAGUCUGGCUCCAGAGUUCUUGGUCCAGCCCUACUCUAGACGGUGCCACAGCCCUGGAGGGACCCAAGGGAAGUUGCAAAUUCCAGCAAGUGAGUGUGAGCAUGAGAGAGGAGGACCUGUUUCAAAUAGGGGUAAAUACAUUCUAUGAUGUGUGAAACCAAAUUGCUUCCCUUUUGUUGUAAAUAACAUGUAAAUGUAUACUUUUAAAAUCACUAUGGGUAAAAUGUUUUUUUAGUGGGUUAGCCUAGGAACACUGUUUUUAUGGGAACAUAAAUUCUGAGUUACCCCCAAAAAACUAUUGGAACAGCCUGUUCAUAAAUUGAAGACUUCCUUUAUUUCUGUUUGGGGUAAAGUUAAAGUAAGGGAAAUCGGAAAAAGGAGGAAAGUAAGACUUCUCAUUAUUUGUAGAUACAAUUCCUGCACAGUAGAAUGCAAUCUGGAUAAUACGUCCCAACUUUCUAAGUGUGCUAAAAAUAAAUGUAAAUGGUUCAUUAGAGCUAAUCUGGCAGCCAAAAGUGAAUAUUAAUAACAUGGAAGAUCAAUAAGAUGCCCAGCAAAGAACAAUGUAUUAACUUGGUUCUAGAAAUAGCAAAAUGUGUGUAGGCCAGACAAGAAGCAAUGGGACAGGAGGCACAGUCAGAAGAAAAAUUCAUCUCUUCUUUAUAAGAUUCAAGGAAUUGAGAAUAGACAAAAUAUGCCCAUCUCUUUUUCCCUCUGCCCACUAAAUAAGCAGUUUAAUCAAUUUUUACCUUUCCUUCCUUGUCUUCAUCUGUCACUACUAACUCAAUAGAAGAAUGUAUAACCCUAGUUCAAAUACAGGUCAAGAUGGCUAUUAUAAAUAUUAUGAGCUUAUGCUGUGACUUUCUCUCUCAGUUCUUAUGUUGUAUACUCUAUUCAAGUAAGGGACAGCACAGAGUAGCUUUUACCCAAAGCAUAUUCAGUGAAGAAAGGGGUUCCAUGGUCAAAUAAAUCUGAGAAAUGCUGCAUAAUAAUCCCCCUUUUAAGAUAUUGAAGGCUCUGAGACAUCUUGCAGGAAAGACACCUGUAUAAUAUAUGGAACCCAGGUUUUCCCAAGCCUUUUGACCAUAUAAUCCUUUUUACCUAACCCCUAUUCACAUCUUUGUGCAGAAUGAUACUGAGAACUCUGAACCAGGAAGAGAGCAAAUCAAGUUCCUAUCUUAUUUUCCUGUGUGAUUUAGAGAAGUUGCCCAGCUUCCCUGGACUUCAAUUUCCUGAGAGAUGGACCACAUAAUAGCUAGACGUUCUGUCCAGUCAUGCAGCUCUAAGGGUAUUUUCAACCCAUGUGCUUCCAUGGCCAUCAUCAAUGCGCAUGGAAGCUGAGGUCUGUGGAUACACUCUUGGUGAGUGAGCAUGUGCCCUCCUGCUAAGCCCACCUCAGAAGCGACUUCCAUCACCCAGGAGCAGCCUAGACAAUGGAUCUUUUACACAUCUUCACAUUCAGUCCUUUAUGCCCAAGCGAAGUACUCACAUUGCAAAGGCUAUUUGUCAGGGGGAUAUGUGGAGGGAGGAAAUUUGCAGAGAAUUGUUAAAACAAGCUUAUAUUUGUUCUUUCAAAUAUUUGCUGGCAUUCAGACAUGGCUUUUAAAAAAGUUUCUUGUGCUUUUUCAUUUAAAUAUGCAAGUUUAAUAAACAUAAUUCACCCAAAACAGAGAAAUGAAGCAAAUUCUUACAACUGAUUCUUUAGGUCUACACUCUUAGGCCACAUUCUAAGAUGUUUUCACUUGAAAUGCUGUUAAUUCUGACAUUUUAACUUUUUCUUUUGGAAAAAUUAUCAUAAGCCAAAGGAUUGUCCCUAAUAUUGAAAAUAUAUUACUGUCACACAGUUUCACAAAAUUAUUCACCUUUUACUUUUAUUUACAUAUUACUCUCCUUUAAAACAGUGUGGAAAGUACUACCUCUCUACAAGUUGAAACUGACUUUUUACUUUCUUGUUUUUAUAGCAAGAGCAUAUUAAUGAUAUAACAGCAAUAGCUAACACUCAUCUACAUGCCUAGUAUGUGACAAACAUUAUUCUAAGUAAUGUAUAUGUGUGUAUCAAUCUUAACAACCUUAUAAAAUAGAUACUAUUAUUAUCCAAUUUUCAAGAUGUGGAAACUGAGGCACAGAUAGGAUAAGUAACUUGCCAAGGUCACAUACCAGUAGUAAGCAGCAGAGUCAAGAUGGAUGGAUUGAUUGAUUUUUUUUUUUUUUUUUAGAGACAGUGUCUUGCUCCGUCGCCCAGGCUGGAGUGCAGUGGUGCUAUCACAGCUCACUGCAGCCUCAAACUCCUGGGCUCAAAUGAUCUCCCUGUCUCAGCCUCUGGAGUAGCUGGGACUAUAGGUGCACAUCACUGUGCCUGGCUAAUUUUUAAAUUUUUAACAGAGAUGGGUGCCUCACUUUGUUGCCCAGACUGGUCUCAAACACCUGGCUUCUGGCAAUCUUCCCACCUUGGCUCCCCAAAGUGCUGGAUUACAAGCGUGUGCUGGGAUUACAGGCGUGUGCUGGGAUUACAGGCAUAAGCCACUGAGCCCGGCCCAGAGUCAAGAUUUGACUCCAGCAGUCUUUGCUCUUAAUCACUCUGCUAUUCAACCUCUUGCUUAAAUUUGUAAAACAAUAGAACCACCACCAAAAAAUAUAUAUAAAUAGCUGAGGAAGAAAUACAAUUUGGAGUUACAUGAAGCCCAUAAUAUAACUAAAGAAAAGGGAGUAUCUAACCUCUUGGUUCCACUUAGAUCAAAGGAGAAAGGCCUGACUUACACUAUGAAAAACACUGGUUAGAGACGUGAAAACAUAUCUUCUCUGUUCAAUGCCAUGAGAUUGGCUCACCUGAGUAGGCUGCAGAAUCUUCUUCCCAAAUGCUUAAUAACAAAAGUGAGAGAACCAUCCAAAAUAUUCUGAAAAAAAUCUCACAGAAGUUAGGAUGGGCUAAAUUAACCAUCCUCAACCCCAUUACUCUUUCCUAAGAGUACUCGAUGGCUAUGUUUCCAAAUUAUUCAAAACAUGUUCCCUAAUGUGUUAAUGGGGGAGAGUGAGGAAGCAGAGACAGAUUAAAAAGACUCAAGAGAUAUAACAACCAAUGUAAUGUGUGGACUUUGUCGGGAUCCUGAUUGACACAAACCUACUUGGAAAAGGCUGUUUUGGGACAAUUGAGUUAAUUUGAUUAUGGGUUAGGUAUUAGAUGAUACUAAUAUUGUUAGGCUUGAUAAUAGCAUCAUUGUUAUAUGAGAACUCUCCAUUUUUCUGAGAAAUAACCUAAAGUAAAUAAGGGUGAAAUGACACAUCUGAGAUUUUUACUUUGACAAAAAAGAGGGAGACGACAGAUGAACUGAGUAUGACAAAAUCUUGGUACUCAGUGUAUCUGAGUAAUGGUAUAUGAAGGGUCAUUCUCUUUGUUUUUGCAUAUAUUUGACAAUUUUCAUGAUAGAGUAUCUUGAUAAAGAAUAUGGAAAGAUUUCUGUCCUGAUGAAAAUAAUUAUGAUAGAUAAAAUUAUUUAAAAACCUGCUAGAGAAAUGCCAGAUACACACCUGGGUACACAGUUCACUUCCCCUAGGACUGAGGCCAGGAAAAAGAAUAAGAAAUAAAGGGAAGAGCAUAGGGCAACCUGGACCAGAGACAGACAGGAAGACAAGAGAAACACAGCCACGGUGCCAACAUUGUUUCAGGAAGAUUUUACAACACCAGCUGUCAGCUCUAGAUAUACUGUUGCCACUUUCGACUUCAUCUAGAAGUGUCCUUCUACCCAAUGCUCUCAACCGCGAUUGAAAAAUACUACAUAAAAUGAGUCUCGGAUCUCUGCCCACCUUAUGUGUUUUGGCGUUUAAAAACCUCUCCCAUGGAUUGGCUCUCAGUCCUUAGGGGUACGUGGUUUCAUUACUGAGGUAUGCCUGUGUGCAGGAAUGUGUGAGUUUGUGUGCAUGGGCAGCUCCUCCCUGAUCACUGUGGCUAUGUCAUAAUGCACAUCCUUGUCUUUUACUCAUUGGGUUAUACCUAACAGCCAAAUUUGUUUGUUAUUCCAGGUGUGCUUAACAUACGUCAAUCUUCAAGACAACUAAUAUCCCUUAAUGAUUAGGAACCUCGAUUUUUUUUUCCAAGAAAAUAACCAUAUAACUAAAUCAUUAAACUUCCCUUAAGUGCCUUAUUAGAGGCUCAUCAAAACAUAUAUAUGUGUGUGUGUGUGUCUGUGUGCAUAUACACAUAUAUACAUCUUUAAAUUUUUAUUUUACUUACUUAUAUAUAUUUUUGAGACGGAAUCUCACUCUGUGGCCCAGGCUGGAGUGCAGUGGCGUGAUCUUGGCUCACUGCAACCUCCACCUCCCAGGUUCAAGCGAUUCUCAUGCUUCAGCCUCCCAAGUAGCUGGGAUUACAGGCAUGCGCCACUACACCUAGCUAAUUUUUGUAUUUUAGUACAGACGGGGUUUCACCACGUUGGCCAGGCUGGUUUCAAACUCCUGACCUCAAGUACUCCACCUGCCUCAGCCUCCCAAAGUGCUGGGAUUACAGCCCUGAGCCACCACAUCUGGUCAAAACAUAUAUUAAAAUGCAAAUAAAAACCUUUACGACAGAAAGAAACAUUGAACAAAUUAGUUGGUUGGACUCAACAAAUACUAUUUUCUAGCCUCCUCUUUCCCCCUACACAAAGACAGCCACUGAUACAUUUUGUUGCUAAAAAUGCACUAGCUUUUUGCUUUUGAUCACACUCUAUGGUAAAUUUUGCAUCCCAGUUUUCUCACCUAACAUUAAAAUAUGGGCAUUUUUUCCUGUUCUAAUUCCGCAUAAACACCCAUUAGUAGCUGGAGAAUAUCCUGUUAAGUACAGACAGUAAAGUUUUGUAAAUUUUCCCCUACUAUUGAACAUUAGAUUGUUGCCAUUUAUUUAAUAUUAUAAAAUAAAUAAUGCUUUAUAUGUGCAAUACUUUCUUAUAUAAUUAUGUGUGUUUCCAUAGUACUGAUCCUUAGAUCAUAAUUAAAAACUAAAUUAAAAACAGUACCUAGUAGUUUACCUUAACACAAGAAAGAAAAAUAGUAGAAAAAGGAAAAAAAAAAAAGACAGGUUCUGUUGAGCAGUGAGUUUGCACUGGCUGAGCCCAAUGUCCCGACUCUAUUAUCUGUGACUCACAUGGCGUGCUUGAAGAAAAAUAUCCCCGUCUUGUUGCUUCUUGGUAGCCCAUGGCAUUAUCCUUUAUCUAACCCUAGUUACUUCUCUGGGAUGUUUCUUGCUCCAGUUGUUUUCCUCAUGGUGUAACAAUGUGAAUUUGCAGUCCUGACUGUUCUCUUUAGAAUUUCAUCACUUCUUUGCUUCCAUUGCAGUUUGCUUGCACUUCUAAUGCAGCACUUCCUUCCCCUUCUCCCGUGGUAUACUUUAGUUGUUUGCACUCUGUCUGCUGAGAUGCUUUAACUCAUCUUUUAAUCACCUACAGUGCCUGGGAUCGUGCUCUGCACAGAACACUGCCAGGCCAUUAGCAGAUUUUCAUCAAAUUAUUAACAUCAUUCUGUUCUUGAGCAGGGUAGUUCCCUUCAAGUUGCCCUCUGCCCUACCCAGUGCUUAAAAACACCUCUCUCGUUCGCGUCUACAAAUUUAAUGAAUGUGUUGUUUAUAUCCUUUCCCAGAUAAUUAAUGAAGAUGUUAAAUAAGACCAUGCUGAACACUCGUCCAGAUUCAAUACAUUGCCAUUUAUCAUUACACUUUCAGUCCUUCAGGCAGUUUUCAAUCAAUUUGACACAUUCAAGUCAAUUUGAAUUCAUUUUCUGAACUAGAUUUCAUGAGACCUGCUAUCAAUUCUUCCAUUAACAUCUGGAUGUAUUUAGAUAUAAUAAUAUAUCUAGUGUAUUCUUUUUGUCCACUGUUUUCCAAUUUUCAAAACAAAAAAUCGAUUAAGUUGGUAUAACAUGAAAAAGCUUUAUAGAUUUAUGCUGUUUGUAGCUCUUGGCUCUAAUACCUCAUAGAUGUUCACAUAUUUACCCUCUCAAAUGUUCUAGUAUUUGUUAGCAAUGUAGUUUUCCUAAUUCACUUAUUUAUCCAACAAAUGUUUAUGGAAUACUUAUUAUGGGCAAGUAUUAUGUUUGGAAUAGGUUUAACACUAAUUCUAUUUAGAAAUUAAUUAUUCAGGGGCUCUUGUUCUGUGAAGUGUACAGGACAAUGUCUCUCCUAAACUAUUUUUCAUUUUAUUUUUACUAUACAUUAGCAACACUGGAGCAUAGAUGAAGCAGGAAGAAGAGAGAAAGCAUGUGUGGCUUCUAACUGGCAGUUCUGAUAAAGAGGUUCCUGGGGUAAGGAUUCUGAAAAAAAAGUGGCUAAAAUAAGACAAGAGAAUGAAUCUGAGAUAUCUCUGCCAAUGAUACUCUGAACAAGUGAGAACUGGAUAUGCAGUCUUUACUCCAGUGUCUGUCUGUCUGUUUCUCUCUCUCUUUCCUCCCCAUCUCUCUCCUUCUCUCUCUCUCUUUCUCAUUAUUCUUCGUGAUUCCAAAGGAGAGCUACCAUAUUUUGAGGAAUUCAUUAUUAUUUCCAUUAACACUGGCUAACACAUCAUCUAAGAUCUUGCCUAUUUAUUUGUUUUCUUCUUUUUUUAAUGAAACGGGUCUUCAUUACUGUUUAAUUAUCCUUAUUUAUCUUCUUAAAGGCCAGUUUUAAAAAGCAGUUCCAAAGCUCAGCCAUUUUGCCAUCAAUAGCUCAGACAUUUGAGCAUAAUCAUUAAGCUUAUCUCCCUAUUCAUUUAAUGCUAGGCCUCCUUUAUCUCUAGUAUGCUUUCCUUUCUCUUCUUUAUUAUGUUUGUAUUAUUACCCUUUGCACCACUGAUCGCCAUAAAUACUUCUUGGUUGUAACUCUGGAACCUCUUUGAUGAUUCAUGCUCUCCUGUGAGAGUCCUAUAGACAGACUUGAUUUACUUUCAGCUUUCUCCUUUUUUUCCUUCUAUUUUUGCACUGUUGUCAUUGUCACUUUUAGACUGCGUCUGGUUUUUACAAUGAUGUCCAGUCUUCGAGGUGAAACCGCUGACCUUGAGUAAAGCACCUGCCCCAAUUCUGCAAGGAAAGAGACAGCCAGGCCGGAACUCAAAACUUAGAAGACAGAGACACAGAGAGGGAAUGAAAGCCACAGAGAGAGAAAAUGAAUCUCAAGAGGAGGACAGGACUGUAAUAAGCCACAUCAUGAAGUUAGAAUCUUCCAGCAGAAGACUGAAAUACUGUAACUGACAGUAACUGACCAUCUGGAACACUAUAAAUGUCUUCUUUACUUCUUA
This is a long non-coding RNA of Homo sapiens (human), 17631 nucleotides long. RefSeq lists it as uncharacterized. The transcript is spliced from 3 exons. The record is from RefSeq and is a predicted model, not a curated record. NCBI's taxonomy places the organism in Eukaryota, Metazoa, Chordata, Mammalia, Primates, Hominidae.